Long non-coding RNA from Eriocheir sinensis (Chinese mitten crab), 6344 nucleotides. RefSeq lists it as uncharacterized. The transcript has 3 exons. The record is from RefSeq and is a predicted model, not a curated record. Lineage: Eukaryota; Metazoa; Arthropoda; Malacostraca; Decapoda; Varunidae.
UGUGUGUGUGUGUGUGUGUGUGUGUGUGUGUGUGUGUGUGUGUGUGUGUGUGUGUGUGUGUGUGUGUGAGGGGAGGGACAGAGCAGGAUUUAGAGCAGGGCCAACAGGUCAGCAAUCUGGGGUAAUAAUUGCAAUGUUAUUUUCUCUCUUUAGCAACGCGGAUCUGCCUUAUGUCCAAUCUUGCCUUUUUGUUGUCUAAUUUACAGUGUUUUAUUAUUAGGCUUAUUCGCAUUCCCAUACUGUGACCACGGCACUUCCGCGCUGGGUCAAACUUUUAGCUUUGAAAAAUAAGUCUCGGGACGCCGCACUCUGUUGUUAAUUGAAUGGUCCCUCAGCCCAACCACAUCGCCCCGGGUAAUGUUAGACUCGACCCAAGCAACCUUCCUAGAAUUAACCCGGGGGAUGAGGUGGGCUGAGUUUGACCGUGGUCGUGGUGGUGGGAGUGGAACGAUCAAGGGACUUAAGGAAACACUAAGGCACAUAUUCUCAAACUCUUGGAAACCUUAGUACAUCUAUUUAAAAAGGCUCUCGCAGAAGUUGUAGGGGUCUCCAUGGGUGGUUUCUUGAUCCCAGCGGUAGUUUUGGAAAGCUUCUGCGCCAUGAACGGAAAAAACACUCAUGACAACUCGACGCAUCUCCUCUGUGGCCUUCAUAAACGGUGGUAACAAGAGCCCGAAAGGUGUGAUACUAUACGAGUCCAAGGCCAAUAUUCUCAAACCUUUCGUGGCUUACACACACACACACAAACACACACACACACACACACACACACACACACACACACACACACACACACACACACACUUAAUAAGGCUUUAGUAGAGAUUGUUAUGCGUAUUUUCAUGGUGGGUAGUUUGCCUAGUGAUAGUUUGACAAGGCUUCUACUGCGCUAUGAACGUCAAAAACACUCACGAAGACAAAGCUAAUCUCCUUGGUGGUCUUGGGAUGUGGUUUUUGUGGGAUCCGAAUGCGUCUGAGAAUACAGGUUGAGGCUCUAUGUUAGUAUUUCCAUGGUGGGUUAUUUUGUGAUCGAGCCUAGUGGUAAUUUGACAAGGCUUCUGCUGCACCGUGAAUGUGACAGACGCCCAUGAGAAGCCGGGUAACCUCCUCUGUGGCCUUGGGGAAUGGUCGUUGUGAGAGCCGAAAGCGCCUGGGAAUAGGGGCCUUAAAUUCCGUAACAUUCGGGCGUGUGUGCUGUCAGAACAUGCACCCGUAGCGCUAACAGGCCGGUGUAGAGUCAGAAUAUGAUGUGAUGGCUUAAUAAUGCGGAAGGAAGGAAGGAAGGAAGGAAGGGAGAAGUGGAAUAAGGGCGUGAAGGAAAGGUGGGAAGGAUGAAGAAAGGAAUGGAUGAAGGAAGGAAGGAAGGAAGGAAGGAAGGGAGAAGUGGAAUAAGGGCGUGAAGGAAAGGUGGGAAGGAUGAAGAAAGGAAUGGAUGAAGGAAGGAAGGAAGGAAGGAAGGAAGGGAAGUUGUAAGGGAUGGGAAGGAAAGGGAAGGGAAGGGAAGGAAGAAAGGAAAAGAAUGAAUGAAUGAAUUAGGGAAGAAAGAAAGUACUGGAGGAAGGAAGAGAAGGAAGGGAGGGAGGGAAGAAGGAAGGAGGGAAGGGAGGAGGCAAAGAAGGAAAGGAGAGAUGGUUUGCGUGCGCCUGUGUGUGUGUGUGUGUGUGUGUGUGUGUGUGUGUGUGUUCUUCUUAAUCAAUUAUAGCAAUACAUUUCAAGACGUCAGAUGAUAUUGUCCUUGUAUAUACAUAGGACUGAAGGGGUCUCAAAGUCAUCUUCAUAAUGGCCAGCGUAGUUUGUGUGAGAAGGAAGGGAAGGAAGGAAGAGCUGUGAGGAGAAGGAAAGACAGAGCAAUCGGCGUCUGAGAAUCUAUAAUCGGAGUAUUCGGCGUCUUAGAAUCUAUAAUCGGUGUAUUCGGCGUCUUAGAAUCUGUAAUCGGAGUAUGUGCGGGAAAAGUAUGCUGGUAUUCUCGAACGCUGCCACCCUACACAUCAACUAUUUCCAAAGGUCAUGAAGGAGAUCACUCGGGUUCUAAUGAGUGUUGUUUUAGGUUCAGGGUACAGGAGAAGGGUACAACUACCACCAGGGUUAUAAAACUACUACACCUGGAAUUGCUCAAAACUCAAACGAAAGUCUCGUCCAAUUUGUGAGCUUGGGCGCUGAAAUGUUUAAAGGGUCAUGAUGGAGAUGAGUCGGGUUCUAAUGAGUGUUGUUUUCAGGGCACAAAAUAAGGGUACAACUACCACCAGGGUUAUAAAACUACUACCCCUGGAAUUGCUCAAAAGUCACACGAAAGCCUUGUCAAAUAUGUUAGCAUGGGCGUUAAAAUAUUCAAAUAUAUCCGUAACGUCUCGAUAAUGCCUGCCGAGUUAUGUGAGAGGGAAAGGCAAGGGAAGGAAAGGAAUCGCCUGCAACAACAAUGAGGAUCAGGAGGGAGAGUUACGAGCCGUCUUAAUGAAACACUAAGAAGGUUCGAAUUCUCAGACGCUUUCGACUCUCGCAACAAUAUUUUUUUUACAGCAAGGGAGGCAAGGCAGCUCAAGGACACAACGUAAAAACAACAACAAGAAAGCCCGAUAGACGCUUCUCCGACUAUGAAUAAAAAAAAGACUAGAAAAGAGGUCAGUUUUGAAUGGAAAAGUUGGAAAGUUUCGUUUAGUCGGCGCAACAUCUGUGAUCAUAUGCCGUCAGUUUUGCAUGGAGAGGAGUCUUGAGUCGUAGGCAGAAGGAGAUAUCUACAGACAAAGGCCGCCAGGGAGAUGAGUCGGGUUCUCGUGAGCGUUUUUCACAUUCAUGGUGCAGCAGAAGCCUUGUCAAAUUAUCACGAGACUAAGUUAGGAGAGAUGGAAGUAUGUGUUAUGGAACGGGAAAGGGAUGUUGGGUCUAUGGAAGGGAUAGGAAGGAAUGGGAAAGAGUAGAGGAAUGGAGGUGGUUAUGUUAUAAUAUAUUAGGUUAGGUUAGGUUAGGAGAGAUGGAAGUAUGUUUCAUGGUACGGGAAAGGGAUGUUGGGUCUAUGGAAGGGAUAGGAAGGAAUGGGAAAGGGUCGAGGAAUGGAGGUGGUAAUGUAAUGUUAUGUUAUGUUAUGUUAGGUUAGGAGAGAUGGAAGUAUGUUUCAUGGUACGGGAAAGGGAUGUUGGGUCUAUGGAAGGGAUAGGAAGGAAUGGGAAAGGGUCGAGAAAUGGAGGUGGUUAUGUUAGGUUAUGUUAUGUUAGGUUAGGAGAGAUGGAAGUAUGUGUUAUGGAACGGGAAAGGGAUGUUGGGUCUAUGGAAGGGAUAGGAAGGAAUGGGAAAGGGUAGAGGAAUGGAGGUGGUAAUGUUAUGUUAUGUUAGGUUAGGUUAGGUUAGGAGAGAUGGAAUAGAUUAUCCUCGGACAUACUAACACAGCCUCUACCAAAGCCUUAUCGAAUGUUGGUGUGUAAGCUCUCGCAAGCAAUAUAUCCAAAGCCCACAAGGAAGACUCGGCUUCUCAUGAGUGUUUUUCGCAAUCACGGUGUAGCAGAAGCCUUGUCAAACUAUCACUAGGGUCACAAAACUACCCACCAUGGAAAUACCCCCCACAACACUAUCUACCCGAGCCUUAUCAAGUUUGGGUGUGUAAGCUUCGAAAUGUUUGAGAAUAUGAACCUUUAUCAGACACAGAAUGGUAGAUAUGGGGGGGGGGGAAUAUGGUAGCUAUGGAAGGGGGACUGGUGGAUGGAAGAAUGGCGUGUGUGAGUGUGUGUGUGUGUGUGUGUGUGUGUGUGUGUGUGUGUGUGUGUGUGUGUGUGUGUGUGUGCGCGCCCCCCGAAAUGUUUGAAAAUGCGGCCUUCGCAUAAAACUCCUAAUCAAGACAGCGGAUGAGCUCGUUGGGGCCGCUGCUGGUGUGUCAGUGUGGGGGAAUGAAGGGUCAGGAGGCUGCGUCUUUAAUAACGAUUGUAAAGGAGGAGGAGGAGGAGGAGGAGGAGGAGGAGGAGGAGGAGGAGGGGCACUUUAAAUUAAGGGACUCUUGUGUUCGUCUCGGUAUUGGCUCGUAAAGGCUGUGUGUCGUUGUGUAUGCGUGGGAGGGAAGGGGAAGGGCUUAGCUAAUGUCUUAAUAAGGGUUGUCAGGGGAGAGGAAGAGAGGGAGAGAGGAGGAAAGGGAGUAGAAAGGUUUAAGGUUUAGGUAAGGAGGACGCAAAGGAAAAAAAGAAGAAGAGAAAGGGGAAACGUUGAAAGUGAUAGCCAGGGAAGAAGAAGAAGAGAGAGGAAGAAAGGGAAGGGGAGUGGAAAGGUGUAGAAGGUUAAGUUGUAGUGAAAAGAAGUAAAGAAGAAGGAAGAGGAAAGGAAGAAGAAGGAAGGAAAAGAGGAAAGGUUUGAAUUGAUAAGGGUUGCCAGGGAAGAAGAAGAAGGGAGAGGAAGAAGAGGGAAAAGGAGUCGAGAGGUUGAAGGUUUAGGUUGCCGUGGGAAGGAGUAAAGAAGAAGGAAGGAAAGAAGAAGGAAGGGAAAGAGGAAAGGUUUGCAUUGAUAAGGGUUGGCAGGGAAGAGGAGGAAGAGAAGAAGAAGAGGGGAAAGGAGUCGAGAGGUUGAAGGUUUAGGUUGCCGUGGGAAGGAGUAAAGAAGAAGGAAGGAAAGAAGAAGGAAGGGAAAGAGGAAAGGUUUGCAUUGAUAAGGGUUGCCAGGGAAGAGGAGGAAGAGAAGAGGAAGAGAGGAGGAAAGGGAUUAGAAAAGUAGAAGGUUUAGGUUGUGGGAAGAAGCAAGCAAGGGAAUGGAGGAAGGAGGAAAGAAGAAAGGAAAUAAGGGAAAAUAAAGAAGAAAUGUAUAGAUUAAUAUCGAUACUCCCUUGUCAAGGAUGUAAGUCGUAUCAAAUUUGGGAAGGAAGAAAAGGCUCGGAAUGCAACCAAUGUCUUAAUCAAUAUAGCUCGUCGGGGAAAGAGAAAGGCAACUUAAUACUGAUACUCGCUGGUGAAAGAUGCAAGUUGUGUCGAGUGUGUGCGGAAAGGCAGGGCUCUCUUAAUAGGGCUCGUCGUGGGAAGAGGCAAGGAAGGAGUGACGGACAGAAGGGAGAAGAAAGAAGAAACGUUUGUCUCAGUGUGGGAAGUCUGGGCUCAGAAUAUAAGGUACUUUUUGCUAAGGGAUCGUUAGGGCAGGAAAGAGGGAGGUCUGCAGUGGACUAUACAGGCUGCGGAGGGUGUGAGGAGGAACGGAAAGAAAGGGAGAGAAAGAAGAAACGUUUGUGUCAGUGAAGAAACGUUUGUGUCAAUGAAGAAACGUUUGUGUCAGUGUAGGAAGCAUAUAAGGUUCGUCUUGCUAAGGGAUCGUAAGGGCAAAAGAGAGAGGGAGGUCUGUGGUGGACUUUCAGGUUGCAGAGGGUGUGAGGAAGGACGGAGGGAAGGAAGGAGGAAGAAAAAACGUAUGUGUCAGUGUAGGAAGUUGGUCAGUCAGAUUGUUUCAGUGUAGCAGCACGGAAUGUAGUCUUGCCUAGGGAUAGUCAGGGCAAUAGAGAGAGAAGUGUCUGCGGUGGACUCUUAAGGUUCCAGAGGGUGUGAGGAGUGUCAGGAAGGGUGGCUCUUGGGUUAGCGGGUUGACCUGACGUCUCGGGAGCGCAGGGCAACUGGGAACAAAGACAUUGGGUUCAUUCAAAAGGACUUACCUCCCCCUUACGCUAUACUGGCUUGGGAGGGCUUGCUGGCUGGCUGUCUGUUUGGCUGGUUAGUCAGGGGAUUAGUGUACUAGGAGAGAUUACUACUACUACUACUACUACUACUACUACUACUACUACUGCUGCUACUGCUAUUACUGCUGCUACAACUACUACUAUAUUCGCUUUUUUCCUCUUCCUCUCCUUUCUUCUUUCCCUCCCCCCCCACCUCUUACAGACCAUUCCAUUCCCUUUCCUCACUUUCUCCUCUUCCUCCUCCUCCUCCUUCUCCUCCUUCUCUCUUUACCUCUUCUACCUUCUCUUCCUAAUCUUUCUUCCAUCUUUUUAUCUCCCAUUCAUCUCUCAUCCCUUCUCUUACCUUCCUCUAACCCCGCCAACUCCAUCAUCUUACCUUCCUUCCUUCCUUCCUCCAUCCCUUCCUCUCACCUCCCUAUCCCUCUCCCCAAACCCCGUCAACUCUCCCAUCUUACUUUCCUUCCUUCCUUCCUUCCCUCUCCCCAUCUCUUCCCUUCGCCUCCUUACCUAUCCUCCACCUUCUAUUUCCUACCCACCAUUCCUACCUUCUCUUUCCUUCCUUCUUCUAGCCCCGUCAACUCCUCCAUCUUUCCUUCCUACAUUUCCAUCAUCCCCUUCUUCCUAUUCCUUUCCUACCUUCAACUAUCCAACCUUACCUUUCUUCCCUGACCCCGCCAACCCCCCCCAUCUUACCUACCUUCCUUCCUUCCUUCCA